GGAUGAGGCCUUCCGCGUUGUCAACCUCUUUCAGUAGGGAAGAAGCGACUUGGGUUCUUUCAGACGUGACGGUAUCUGCAGAAGAAGCGCCGGCUAACUACGUUCCAGCAAGUCGCGGUAAUACGUAGGGCGCAAGCGUUGUCCGGAAUUAUUGGGCGUAAAGAGCUCGUAGGCGGUUUGUCGCGUCUGGUGUGAAAACUCAAGGCUCAACCUUGAGCUUGCAUCGGGUACGGGCAGACUAGAGUGUGGUAGGGGUGACUGGAAUUCCUGGUGUAGCGGUGGAAUGCGCAGAUAUCAGGAGGAANNNNNAUGGCGAAGGCAGGUCACNNNNNNNNNUACUGACGCUGAGGAGCGAAAGCAUGGGGAGCGAACAGGAUUAGAUACCCUGGUAGUCCAUGCCGUAAACGUUGGGCACUAGGUGUGGGGCUCAUUCCACGAGUUCCGCGCCGCAGCUAACGCAUUAAGUGCCCCGCCUGGGGAGUACGGCCGCAAGGCUAAAACUCAAAGGAAUUGACGGGGGCCCGCACAAGCGGCGGAGCAUGCGGAUUAAUUCGAUGCAACGCGAAGAACCUUACCAAGGCUUGACAUACACCGGAACCGGCCAGAGAUGGUCGCGUCUUCGGACUGGUGUACAGGUGGUGCAUGGUUGUCGUCAGCUCGUGUCGUGAGAUGUUGGGUUAAGUCCCGCAACGAGCGCAACCCUCGUCCUAUGUUGCCAGCACGUCAUGGUGGGGACUCAUAGGAGACUGCCGGGGUCAACUCGGAGGAAGGUGGNGACGACG
RNAcentral lists this ribosomal RNA (782 nucleotides) under uncultured bacterium. Its description in RNAcentral is "bacterial SSU rRNA". It matches the Rfam family "Bacterial small subunit ribosomal RNA", at positions 406 to 1184 of the family's 1533-position model. The record is from RNAcentral.